RNAcentral lists this long non-coding RNA (977 nucleotides) under Macaca mulatta (Rhesus monkey). RNAcentral's name for it is "lncRNA (ENSMMUG00000063519.1)". Lineage: Eukaryota; Metazoa; Chordata; Mammalia; Primates; Cercopithecidae. The record is from RNAcentral.
AAUUCCAUGGAGUCUAAUUUCUGCUGGGAUAUUUCCUCCAGGCUGACAUUGGUUUCAGAAGGAUGUAUAAUUGGACCAGUUCUUGAUAAGCCUGAAUCUUUAUGUGCUGCGUGUCUGUAAGCUGCCCUCUCAAAGAUCUGCUCUCCUCACAUGAUGCAGAAAGAAAAUGAUGUGGACAGAGAGAGAAAUGUCACAAUCUACGCUCAGCUGGUCUGGAUUAUCCAACUUCUGAGGUGUAUCCGUCGGCUGUCCCUGUAUCCCAUUAUAAAUCAUCUCCUUGUUGAACAUCAGGCCAGACUGGGGUCUGAUUCAUUGGCUGAAUGUGGCUACCUGGCUCCAGGAGGAGCCUCUGUCUCAGUCCUGUAAUAGUCAUCAUGCUUUAAGAAACCUUCACAUUUCUGAACAGUUACAUAGUGUCCUCAGCUGAAGAAAGAGGAUGUCUGGAGUCCAUUUCCGGCAGUUAGCAGGGAGCUGUUUUCCUCUCUCUGACAUUAGCAAGGUUUUUAUUCCAUGCCUUUGGGGACAGCGACAGUCAACACCAACCUGUGGCAUGGGAUGGAUUUCUAUCAAAAGCCUCUGUGAAUGUGCUCUGAGAAGUUUCUACAGAGUCUAACAGGGCCUCACUCUGUCACCCAGCUUGGGGUGCAGUGGCACAAUCUGAGCUCACUGGAAUCUCAAACGCUUGGGCUCUUGAGUUUGAAAUACAGCAAAGAAAAAUGUCAGUGCUCCCGCCUAUGGAGUCACCAACUCUUCAUAAAUCCAUUCCAAAUAGAUCAUCAAGGACACUUGUAACAGAGACGUUUUCCACACCAUGGCAUGUUCCCGAAGACUCAAAGUUGGUCAGAGAGACUAAACAAGGACAGCGCGGACCCUUUUUUGAAGCUGUUUUUCUAUUUUUAAAAUGCAGUUCAAAAGAUAUUGGAAAACUUUCAAAGGUUUAUUCUUUCUCUCUUGCUGAACUUUUAAGGAGAGGCUGA